Molecule: non-coding RNA, 187 nt
Organism: Arachis ipaensis
Lineage: Eukaryota; Viridiplantae; Streptophyta; Magnoliopsida; Fabales; Fabaceae
Source: RefSeq, a predicted model, not a curated record
GAGCUUCUGGCCGCCGUCGGAGCUAUUGUCGGGGUCGGUUCAAAAUUGUAGCUGCCUCAUUGUGUUAUUCGUGUUGCUAUGGUUGUUGCGAAUGUGGCUUGAAGCUGAGGUUGCGGUUGUUGUUGAUGUCGGGUUGAGGCGGAAAGGACUCUGUGACGCGUUUGAGUUAUGGAUUUGCGUUCUGAGG